RNAcentral lists this signal recognition particle RNA (99 nucleotides) under Phycisphaeraceae bacterium. Its description in RNAcentral is "signal recognition particle sRNA small type". It matches the Rfam family "Bacterial small signal recognition particle RNA". From Rfam's summary of the family: The signal recognition particle (SRP) is a universally conserved ribonucleoprotein involved in the co-translational targeting of proteins to membranes. Archaeal SRP consists of a 7S RNA and homologues of the eukaryotic SRP19 and SRP54 proteins. The record is from RNAcentral. Lineage: Bacteria; Pseudomonadati; Planctomycetota; Phycisphaerae; Phycisphaerales; Phycisphaeraceae.
GGCCGGGCCCGGUGCAAGGUCGCCCCGUGAAUCUGGUCAGGGCUUGACGGCAGCAGCCAUAAACGGAUGGCGGUCGGUGCUGCCGGUGUCCUGGUCGCC